UCAAGCGAACAAGUGCAUGUGGUGGAUGCCUUGGCGAUCACAGGCGAUGAAGGACGCGGUAGCCUGCGAAAAGCUUCGGGGAGCUGGCAAACAAGCUUUGAUCCGGAGAUGUCCGAAUGGGGAAACCCGGCCCGUAUGGGUCAUCCCACACUGAAUCCAUAGGUGUGGGAAGCGAACGCGGCGAACUGAAACAUCUAAGUAGCUGCAGGAACAGAAAUCAACCGAGAUUCCCAAAGUAGUGGCGAACGAAAUGGGAAGAGCCUUGCACUCUUUAGCAGGACUGUUAGCAAAACGGGAUGGAAAGCCCGGCCAUAGCAGGUGAUAGCCCUGUAUGCGAAAACAGACUUGUGGAACUAGGUGUGCGACAAGUAGGGCGGGACACGUGAAAUCCUGUCUGAAGAUGGGGGGACCAUCCUCCAAGGCUAAAUACUCGUGAUCGACCGAUAGUGAACCAGUACCGUGAGGGAAAGGCGAAAAGAACCCCGGGAGGGGAGUGAAAUAGAUCCUGAAACCGCAUGCAUACAAACAGUCGGAGCCUCGUAAGGGGUGACGGCGUACCUUUUGUAUAAUGGGUCAGCGACUUACAUUCAGUGGCAAGCUUAACCGAUUAGGGAAGGCGUAGCGAAAGCGAGUCCGAACAGGGCGUUGAGUCGCUGGGUGUAGACCCGAAACCAGAUGAUCUAUCCAUGGCCAGGUUGAAGGUGCGGUAACACGUACUGGAGGACCGAACCCACUAACGUUGAAAAGUUAGGGGAUGAGCUGUGGAUAGGGGUGAAAGGCUAAACAAAUCUGGAAAUAGCUGGUUCUCUCCGAAAACUAUUUAGGUAGUGCCUCGUGUCUCACCUUCGGGGGUAGAGCACUGUCAUGGUUGGGGGGUCUAUUGCUGAUUACCCCGCCAUAGCAAACUCCGAAUACCGAAGAGUGCAAUCACGGGAGACAGACAUCGGGUGCUAACGUCCGGUGUCAAGAGGGAAACAACCCAGACCGCCAGCUAAGGUCCCCAAAUAUAGCUAAGUGGGAAACGAAGUGGGAAGGCUAAAACAGUCAGGAGGUUGGCUUAGAAGCAGCCACCCUUUAAAGAAAGCGUAAUAGCUCACUGAUCGAGUCGUCCUGCGCGGAAGAUGUAACGGGGCUAAGCUAUAUACCGAAGCUGCGGACGCACGCAAGUGCGUGGUAGGAGAGCGUUCUGUAAGCCUGUGAAGGUGUCUUGUAAAGGAUGCUGGAGGUAUCAGAAGUGCGAAUGCUGACAUGAGUAGCGAUAAAGGGGGUGAAAGGCCCCCUCGCCGUAAGCCCAAGGUUUCCUACGCAACGUUCAUCGGCGUAGGGUGAGUCGGCCCCUAAGGCGAGGCAGAGAUGCGUAGCUGAUGGGAAGCAGGUUAAUAUUCCUGCACCGUCGUAUGAUGCGAUGGGGGGACGGAUCGCGGAAGGUUGUCCGGGUGUUGGAAGUCCCGGUCCCUGCAUUGGAGAAGGCGCUCAGGCAAAUCCGGGCGCGGAAUUCAAGAGUGUGGGGCGAGCGGCCUAGUGCUGCGAAGCAAUUGGAAGUGGUUCCAAGAAAAGCCUCUAAGCUUCAGUCAUACGAGACCGUACCGCAAACCGACACAGGUGGGCGAGAUGAGUAUUCUAAGGCGCUUGAGAGAACUCGGGAGAAGGAACUCGGCAAAUUGGUACCGUAACUUCGGGAUAAGGUACGCCCUGGUAGCUUGACUGGCCUGCGCCAGAAGGGUGAAGGGGUUGCAAUAAAAUGGUGGCUGCGACUGUUUAAUAAAAACACAGCACUCUGCAAACACGAAAGUGGACGUAUAGGGUGUGACGCCUGCCCGGUGCCGGAAGAUUAAAUGAUGGGGUGCAAGCUCUUGAUUGAAGUCCCGGUAAACGGCGGCCGUAACUAUAACGGUCCUAAGGUAGCGAAAUUCCUUGUCGGGUAAGUUCCGACCUGCACGAAUGGCGUAACGAUGGCCACACUGUCUCCUCCCGAGACUCAGCGAAGUUGAAGUGUUUGUGAUGAUGCAAUCUCCCCGCGGCUAGACGGAAAGACCCCAUGAACCUUUACUGUAGCUUUGCAUUGGACUUUGAACCGAUCUGUGUAGGAUAGGUGGGAGGCUUUGAAGCGUGGACGCUAGUCUACGUGGAGCCGUCCUUGAAAUACCACCCUGGUUUGUUUGAGGUUCUAACCUUGGCCCGUGAAUCCGGGUCGGGGACAGUGCAUGGUAGGCAGUUUGACUGGGGCGGUCUCCUCCCAAAGUGUAACGGAGGAGUUCGAAGGUACGCUUGGUACGGUCGGACAUCGUACCUAAAGUGCAAUGGCAAAAGCGUGCUUAACUGCGAGACCGACAAGUCGAGCAGGUGCGAAAGCAGGACAUAGUGAUCCGGUGGUUCUGAAUGGAAGGGCCAUCGCUCAACGGAUAAAAGGUACUCUGGGGAUAACAGGCUGAUACCGCCCAAGAGUUCAUAUCGACGGCGGUGUUUGGCACCUCGAUGUCGGCUCAUCUCAUCCUGGGGCUGUAGCCGGUCCCAAGGGUAUGGCUGUUCGCCAUUUAAAGAGGUACGUGAGCUGGGUUUAAAACGUCGUGAGACAGUUUGGUCCCUAUCUGCCGUGGGCGUUGGAAUCUUGACGGGGGCUGCUCCUAGUACGAGAGGACCGGAGUGGACGUACCGCUGGUGUACCUGUUGUCUCGCCAGAGGCAUCGCAGGGUAGCUAUGUACGGAAGAGAUAACCGCUGAAAGCAUCUAAGCGGGAAACUCGCCUGAAGAUGAGGAUUCCCUGGCGGCUUGACCGCCUUGAAGGGUCGUUCGAGACCAGGACGUUGAUAGGCUGGGUGUGGAAGCGCAGUAAUGCGUUAAGCUAACCAGUACUAAUUGCCCGUAAGGCUUGAUCCU
Molecule: ribosomal RNA, 2877 nt
Filed under: Cupriavidus taiwanensis
Lineage: Bacteria; Pseudomonadati; Pseudomonadota; Betaproteobacteria; Burkholderiales; Burkholderiaceae
Description: bacterial LSU rRNA
Rfam family: Bacterial large subunit ribosomal RNA
Source: RNAcentral